This 940-nucleotide long non-coding RNA is filed under the name Capra hircus (goat). RNAcentral's name for it is "lncRNA (ENSCHIG00000005649.1)". Lineage: Eukaryota; Metazoa; Chordata; Mammalia; Artiodactyla; Bovidae. The record is from RNAcentral.
GUCUGCUUGGUUUUGGUUAUCUUAGCUGUAAUAAAUAGACCUGGGACCCCCGAAGGCACACCCCACACACUUAUGCUGUGUGACCUAAGGUCACAAGUAAUGGCUGCAAGCUAAUUGAUUGAGAAAGGCUUGUCUGGAGGGGCCUCUUUGCGUCCUCCCUUUACAUUCCUAAGUUCUGUGAAAGAGGCACUAGCGGCUCAGACUGGCAAGGAAGGAAAAAAAGAGAGGAAGUUUCUCUGCGUUCUGAUUACAUUUGAGUUCCCUGUAGUGAGCUUAACUUCUCUCCACCCACUUCUUACCAAGAACUCUCUCACUUGAAGGUGAACAACUUAAAGCCUGAGCUCAGAGAGUUACCCGAAAAGUGAUUUGAGUAUUUAUUGAACUGAAAGAACAAAUUACCUACUUCAGGCGGUGGGAAGCGUAUGGAAAUUAUAUUAGAACUUCAGCAAAGUGCACAGCCGCAUAACACAGAAGCCGAGACUCAGAUUGACAGGCAAAUAAGCCAGCUCGUGGAAGGGGCCUCUGGGUGGCAGCUCUGGGCUAUUGGGUGUUGGACAACUAUAGGCAAAACUGAAAUGGAACAGGGGCAGAAAAUAGCACACUUUAACGCUGCGCAACCGUUGCUUUCUCAUGUGUCCCCCUUUUCCCUGGUGACUCAGACAGUAAAGAAUCUGGCCUGCAAGGCAGAAGACUCAGGUUCCAUCCUUGGGUCAGGAAGAUACUCUGGAGAACAAAAUGGCUACCCGCUCCAGUAGUCUUUCCUGGAGAAUACCAUGGACAGAGGAGCCUGGUGGGCUAUAGACCAUGGGGUUUCAGAGAGUCAGACACAACUGAGUGAUUAAUAAUUUAACAUUCUUUCCUUUGACUCUAAUCAGUAAAGCUAUUAUUAAAAGGAAGUGAUCAUCUUAUUUCAAACAUAUAAUAAUCAAUAAACUUGUGG